UGCAUCGCUAGGUGAGGAGCGGAGGGUCAUUAAAGAGUUAAAAACAACUCCUAAACCCAUGUGAAACCUACCUUUGUUGCCUCGGCAGGUCUGCAACUUACCCUGAGGGUACCUACCCUGUAGGUACCUUACCCGGUAGUUGCGGGCAUAACCUGCCGGUGGUCUACUAAACUCUGUUUACUAUGUCAUUCUGAAUAAUAUAACUAAAUAAGUUAAAACUUUCAACAACGGAUCUCUUGGUUCUGGCAUCGAUGAAGAACGCAGCGAAAUGCGAUAAGUAAUGUGAAUUGCAGAAUUCAGUGAAUCAUCGAAUCUUUGAACGCACAUUGCGCCCAUUAGUAUUCUAGUGGGCAUGCCUGUUCGAGCGUCAUUUCAACCCUUAAGCCCUGUUGCUUAGCGUUGGGAGCCUACAGAUACCCUCUGUAGUUCCUUAAAGUUAGUGGCGGAGUCGGUUUCACACUCUAGACGUAGUAAAUUUUAUCUCGCCUAUAGAUGAGCCGGUCCCUUGCCGUAAAACCCCCUAAUUUCUAAAGGUUGACCUCGGAUCAGGUAGGAAUACCCGCUGAACUUAAGCAUAUCAA
Molecule: ribosomal RNA, 581 nt
Filed under: Xylaria sp. zzz1741
Lineage: Eukaryota; Fungi; Ascomycota; Sordariomycetes; Xylariales; Xylariaceae
Description: eukaryotic LSU rRNA
Rfam family: 5.8S ribosomal RNA (bases 217-370)
Source: RNAcentral